Long non-coding RNA from Carassius gibelio (silver crucian carp), 1004 nucleotides. RefSeq lists it as uncharacterized. The transcript has 3 exons. The record is from RefSeq and is a predicted model, not a curated record. Lineage: Eukaryota; Metazoa; Chordata; Actinopteri; Cypriniformes; Cyprinidae.
CUUGUUCAACAUUUCAGUGCUUCAUUUGUGCUUUUUCACUCAGACCGAGAGCGCUACGAUCACACAGUCCUUCCGUUUGACAGGUCGAUAUCUCUGUUUUAUCUGAGGCCUGUGAUUUCACACCUCGCUCCUGUUAACAGUUUGUGCAUUGCUUUUGGAGUGGCGUCGGGGACCAGCUCGCCUUUCUUCAGAUGCAUUUGUCACAGCAGUGAGAUGCUGUGAUUUUAAUUGUAUUGGGGAAUCUUGAUUGGGAAAAGCAGAGGGGGAAGUGAAAGCUCAAAGCAAAUUCAUUACCGCAGAGGCCGUGCAUACCGAGCUUUUCUGCAUGCAGUGAAAAUGUCAGCCUCACCUCGGUCAUUUGUAAAGUAAUAAGCAGAAGCACAAUGACGGCGAGGCGCAGCAGCGCAACGGGGGGAAGGGCAAAUCUGCCUGUCUCCUUAAAAAGGAUUUUUAAAAGAGUCUUGAUUAGAAAGUAUAAUGAGACUGAGAGCAACGCUGCACACUAUCUCUCCAGAGGCUGAUGGAAAACAAAUCAAUGUAGCUAUUUUGUUUUAAUUCCUAUUUUUCCACAUUAGACUGCGGUGCGUCCUGAGGAGUUGUCAUCACUGUCCACCAGAGCCCAUGCAGUCAGAGUUAUUGAUUUUCUGUAGACACAUCAAGGGAAUGCAGAGAGUAAUCUCUUUUUUCCCCCUGAAAAAAAACACACAAAAAACAAGAGCCAUAGCAUAAAAAAAUGGAAGAAGACAAAAGGAAGGGUUGAGGGAAAACAUUAUAUUGUAUCAUUCUUGUUUCAGGUUUAAUUUGAUCAAACAGGCAUUAACCAACAAAUGCCACAAAUAUCACAAAAUUUAUAAAAAAUGUUUUUAUAAUAUGUUUCCUUUACUGGAGGAUGAUGAUAUUGGUUAACAAAUGAGGUUACUUAAAAAAAAAUAGUUCACCCAAAAAUGAAAAAUGGCUAGAAAAAAAAAUCACCCUCAGAUCAUCUAAGAUAUGGAUGAGUUUGU